AUUGAACGCUGGCGGCAGGCCUAACACAUGCAAGUCGAACGAGUGGCGGACGGGUGAGUAAUGUCUGGGAAACUGCCUGAUGGAGGGAGAUCACUACUGGAAACGGUAGCUUAUACCGCAUACCCUCGUAUGUGCCCAGAUGGGAUUCGCUUGUUGGAGGGGUAACGGCUCACCAAGGCGACGAUCCCUAGCUGGUCUGAGAGGAUUACCAGCCACACUGGAACUGAGACACGGUCCAGACUCCUACGGGAGGCAGCAGUGGGGAAUAUUGGACAAUGGGCGAAAGCCUGAUCCAGCCAUGCCGCGUGUGUGAAGAAGGUCUUCGGAUUGUAAAGUACUUUAAGUUGGGAGGCGUUACCAACAGAAUAAGCACCGGCUAACUCCGUGCCAGCAGCCGCGGUAAUUC
This 406-nucleotide ribosomal RNA is filed under the name uncultured bacterium. RNAcentral's name for it is "partial 16S ribosomal RNA". It matches the Rfam family "Bacterial small subunit ribosomal RNA", at positions 30 to 526 of the family's 1533-position model. The record is from RNAcentral.